GGGCCCGUAGCUCAGCUUGGAUAGAGCGGCAGCCUUCUAAGCUGUAGGUCGGCGGUUCGAGUCCGCCCGGGCCCG
RNAcentral lists this transfer RNA (75 nucleotides) under Nitrososphaerota archaeon. Its description in RNAcentral is "Thaumarchaeota archaeon tRNA-Arg". It matches the Rfam family "tRNA". Rfam says of the family: Transfer RNA (tRNA) molecules are approximately 80 nucleotides in length. Their secondary structure includes four short double-helical elements and three loops (D, anti-codon, and T loops). The record is from RNAcentral. RNAcentral also lists the same sequence under 1 other name. Lineage: Archaea; Thermoproteati; Nitrososphaerota.